UGGAUCCAGACUUUGAUCCUGGCUCAGGACGAACGCUGGCGGCGUGCCUAACACUUGCAAGUCGAACGAAGCUUGAUUUAUGAUUUCUUCGAAAUGAAUAAUGAUAUGACUGAGUGGCGGACGGGUGAGUAACGCGUGAGCAACCUGCCCUUCGGAACGGGAUAGCGUCUGGAAACGGACGGUAAUACCGUAUAACGUAUUUUUACCGCAUGAUAGAAAUACCAAAACUGAGGUGCCGAAGGAUGGGCUCGCGUCUGAUUAGAUAGUUGGUGGGGUAACGGCCUACCAAGUCGACGAUCAGUAGCCGGACUGAGAGGUUGAACGGCCACAUUGGGACUGAGACACGGCCCAGACUCCUACGGGAGGCAGCAGUGGGGAAUAUUGCACAAUGGGGGAAACCCUGAUGCAGCAACGCCGCGUGAAGGAAGACGGUUUUCGGAUUGUAAACUUCUGUUCUUAGUGAAGAUAAUGACGGUAGCUAAGGAGCAAGCCACGGCUAACUACGUGCCAGCAGCCGCGGUAAUACGUAGGUGGCAAGCGUUGUCCGGAAUUACUGGGUGUAAAGGGAGCGUAGGCGGGAAGCCAAGUCAGCUGUGAAAACUACGGGCUUAACCUGUAGACUGCAGUUGAAACUGGUUUUCUUGAGUGAAGUAGAGGUUGGCGGAAUUCCGAGUGUAGCGGUGAAAUGCGUAGAUAUUCGGAGGAACACCGGUGGCGAAGGCGGCCAACUGGGCUUUAACUGACACUGAGGCUCGAAAGUGUGGGGAGCAAACAGGAUUAGAUACCCUGGUAGUCCACACUGUAAACGAUGAUAACUAGGUGUGGGGGGUCUGACCCCUUCCGUGCCGCAGCUAACGCAAUAAGUUAUCCACCUGGGGAGUACGACCGCAAGGUUGCAACUCAAAUGAAUUGACGGA
This 917-nucleotide ribosomal RNA is filed under the name uncultured Bacillota bacterium. Its description in RNAcentral is "bacterial SSU rRNA". It matches the Rfam family "Bacterial small subunit ribosomal RNA", at positions 1 to 917 of the family's 1533-position model. The record is from RNAcentral. Lineage: Bacteria; Bacillati; Bacillota.